Molecule: ribosomal RNA, 508 nt
Filed under: uncultured bacterium
Lineage: Bacteria
Description: bacterial SSU rRNA
Rfam family: Bacterial small subunit ribosomal RNA
Source: RNAcentral
UAGUCCACGCCGUAAACGAUGAGUGCUAGUUGUUGGGCCUUGAGCUCGGUGACGUAGUUAACGCGUUAAGCACUCCGCCUGGGGAGUACGGUCGCAAGAUUAAAACUCAAAGGAAUUGACGGGGACCCGCACAAGCGGUGGAGCAUGUGGUUUAAUUCGAGGCAACGCGAAGAACCUUACCAGUCCUUGACAUCCCGAUCGCGAUUAAUGGAGACAUUUUUCUUCAGUUCGGCUGGAUACCACACAGGUGCUGCAUGGCUGUCGUCAGCUCGUGUCGUGAGAUGUUCGGUUAAGUCCGGCAACGAGCGCAACCCACACCCUUAGUUGCCAGCAGUUCGGCUGGGCACUCUAAGGGAACUGCCCGUGAUAAGCGGGGGAAGGUGUGGAUGACGUCAAGUCCUCAUGGCCCUUACGGGUUGGGCUACACACGUGCUACAAUGGUGGUGACAGUGGGUUAAUCCCCAAAAACCAUCUCAGUUCGGAUUGUCCUCUGCAACUCGAGGGCAUG